GGGUUUACGUUCUGCCGGGCGCUGUGCGGAGGCUAGUCCCUAUUUGUUGUGUAUCUUUAAGUCUCCUUAUUCGACUAACAGCUACAUGCGGCUACCUUUUUCCUUUCCCACUGUUUUGUUUGGAGAAUGGUUCUUGUUAGGAAAACUUGUGCAACUGAUUGAUUAUCUGUUGGUGAGAGACAGAAUGUGAAGCUUAUUAUGAAAGGUGCAUUUUCUUGAGAUUGAAGAACUGGGCUAAAUUUUUGAUACAGAAUACAGAGAAGCAUAGAUCAUGUGGUCCUCCGGUGAUCAGGAGGCUAUAACUAUAUGGUUGGAAGGAUGCAAGGAUUAUUUUCAAAUCCUGGAAGCUCGGAUGGGAACAUGGGCGAGAAAUUUCACAAGAAAAAAAAGGACAGAGGAAGAAAUAUUAAUUCAGUUAAAAAAAAAAAAGAAAAAAACUUGAAUGUGUUUGUAAACUGCCAUAAAUAAUGAACCAUGAACAAAUUCAAUAUUUAUGCCCCAAAAAAUCAUCACAUUUCUUCAUUUUGAAACUCCCAAAACACCCCAAGAUAAAAACUUUUGGGUCUUGCAUUUUGUUUGUUUAUGUCAAAACUAGGCCCAAACGAAUAAUAUUGCAUUGUUAUUAUUGUAAACGGGUGGAGGUUGGGCUGCUUCUUGACAUUCAAAGCCUACUCGCACGGUAUUGGUUAGUUUUAGGUUGAUCCGAAUCAUAGGCGUCGAGUUAAUUGGAUUGGAUUGGAUUGGAUGGGGCUGGGGGGCAGCAUGAGCUUGUUGAGGGGAGGCUGCUCCUCCUCCUCCUCCUCCUCCUCCGGCGGCUACUGCUGCUGUUCUAGUAGCAGCAGUAAUUAUGGAUAUGGUGGUCGUCGCCCUGUACUGCUACGAGCUCUACUUCCCUCUGCCACUGCUUCUGCUACUUCAUCUUCAACGCCGCGGCCUCUGCAGCCUCUCCUCCUCCUCAGGCCCAGAGAUAAGAAGAAGACGAUUAUACUAACCCCACCAUUCUCCACUUCACCUCCUACUAAUCCUAAUUACUCCUCCUCCUCCUCCUCCUGGGCUACUCCUAAAAAACUAACACCGCCAUUUCUGCUGCCUUCCCCGCUCAUCACAAAAUUUACUCCUGUUACUCCCAUUCCAACGUUGUUGCCGGGGUGGAAACGCUGUUUCUGCACUGCCCCCUCCUCCUCCUCCUCCUCCGUCAAGGUGGAGGAUGAUGACGAUGAUGAGAUGACCAAGAUCAAAGAAGCCGCCAACACAUUGGACAUUCGAGUGGGCAAAAUCCUCAAGGCCUGGAGGCACCAGGAAGCUGAUUCCCUCUACGUCGAAGAGGUCGAUGUUGGGGAGCCUGAACCCAGAAUCAUUUGUAGUGGCCUCGUCAAAUAUCUGCCCCUCCACCAUCUUCAGGUACCAUAUUAUACUGUUCUACUAUUUCUACUGCUACUAAGUCAUGCAUCAAAAUUACCCCUACUGCUGCUGCUGCUGCUUGUUAAGCUAUUAGUGACAAAUUUGGACAACCCUCGUGCUUAAUACUACUAGUGCUAGGCCACGACUACUAGUUAUUGACAAAAAUGUCUGCUUCUAAGCUAGCCAUGUCCCCAUAGAGCCUUCCAUCCCCACUCUUUUAUUGCUAUCAUCAUAAGGAAGACUGUGUUCAGCAUAGCGUCGCGCAUGCUUGAACAUACCAAGCUUUUUACUUUCCCAAAAGCUCAUCGGACGGCAUUUUCAAUUGAGAAGAGCUGGUCUUCUGUCUCUUCUUUGAGCAAACCUUCAGGUGAAAAUAUCUAACCCCAUGAGAUCAACAUGCAGGGCAUCAAUGUGGUUGUCCUUGCUAAUUUGAAGCCAAGGAAUAUGCGUGGUGUCAAAUCAUCCGGAAUGCUGAUGGCAGCUUCUGAUGCAUCACAUGAGAACGUGGAGCUACUAGUGCCUCCUGAAGGCUCAGUUCCUGGUCAAAGGAUAUGGUUUGGUUCUGUGGAUGAAAAGGAGAAUCUUCCAGAUGCCGCAUCGCCCAAUCAGGCAAAUUCUCAAACUCUCAUUGCGUAAAACAAGUUCCAAACUUUUAUUUGGUAUGGUAUGGAAUUUUUCAUGUCAGAGACAACAUCUAGACGUGCACAGAAAAGCGGGUAUUAAACCCUUAGCUUUCCCGUUAUAGACCUCUCUAGGCAAAAGAUAAUUUAGUGGCGACAUGCCUCGUGUAUCAAAGCCUAUAAGUAUGAACUUAAGUAAGCAAAAAAAUUAUAUGAGGGUAGUACAUCACUUUGUUGGACAAUUGAAUGUAUGCUCUGCUCUAAAAUACUUUACGGUUACGUUAUAAAUGUCUCAGCUCUUUAAUGCAUGGUAUUCAGAAUUCACAUGGUCGGCUUUUGGUUAGAUGUUUAGUAACAAAAUUCUUCCUGAUCUUUUCCAUUUUCUUAUGGGAGUUCUCCAGGAUCCUGUUUAUAAACUACUUUGUUGGUAGGUUAUAGCUUGCAAGUUCAUUGACAAAUGAAAUUUGGGCAAGAACAAUAAUUUUGCGUUACUUGUGGAAUUUUUGCUUGGUCAUAUCCUCAAUGAAGAGAACUCUGGUGUUUAUUAAAGUACUACUUAUGUUGGUUUGAUGGAUAGGGCUUCAAAUGCAAAGGUGAUAAGUUAUACUAAUACAGGAUCGUAAAAAUGCUCAAAUGAUUAUAAUUCAGCUUUGCAUUGAGAUGAUGAAUUACUGAAGAGGACACUGGGCAAAGAAUAAUUAGCUUUCCUUAAUAAACCUCUUCAAUGCACCUUUUGUAUUUUUGAUUUCAUUGUGAAGAACAAUGUCAUAGAUGUCUUACUAAUGCAUGGAUGCUAGUAGAAUCUCAAUGUAAAACUGCCCUUGGUAAGAAAGUGAGUGUGCUGAAACAGUUAUUAGCGAUACUGAAUAAUUUAGUUCUGUUAUUCUUUUCUGUAGGUAAAACAGUUAGAUUUUAUCGAUGAAAACAAAGUCAAGUUUGUAUAAACAUAUGGGUGAUACCCAAAUACCUUUUAGUAAAUGAUUUAUUAAAUGCGGCCUGGCAAGAAGCAGAACUUUUCGUUCAAUGGGUUACUAAUUUUAUUCGUCCAUAAACUGAUUAUGUUUAUGGCUUCGUAAAAUGAUAAGGUCAAAUCAACAUCAAGUCAAAUAUUGAGAGAUAACACAUAUUUCUUCUCAAAGAAACAUACAUCACUGCCAUGUCACCAGAUUCAGCUGCUGAAAUGUUAGGUCACUUCCUUGCCCAGUCAAGUUGUCAACCCAAUCUGAUCAACUGGCUGUUUAGUCGUUGGCCUUUAAUAUGAGAAUUUUUAGUUGGUACGCAUCACAUAUUGCAAUGUUUACUGUGGUUUUUGCUUACUUAUUAAGGAUUAAAUAAAAUAUCAUGGCACAACUGAGAUGUUUGGAUGAGAAUGUUUUGCAAGUUUGUUACCAUAAGCAACUAAAGGCAUAUUGUAUUUACUUUUACUAGAUAGACAAAACCUUUAAGCUAUCCUAACAGUAAACAGACCAGAUAUUGCUUUUGUUGUAAGAUUGGUGAACCAGUUUCUGAAUUCACCAAGGUACAGUGAUUAGACAUACUGAAACUUAAAAUGUCUUAAAGGUGCCUUGGGUCAUGGCUAACUCUAUCAGAACAGUCAUCUUAAAAUAUUUUGUUGUUAGUGGAAUCCUGUUUCAUGGAAGUGCAAGAAACAAUCUGUGGUUUCAAAGUCUGGUGUUGAAUCCGAUUAUAGGGCUAUGGUGCAAACUAUGUGCAAGUUGCUAUAGCUGAAACAGCUGUUGAAGGAACUUGGUCUUGAAAAUAAUAAUCCAAUGGAUCUGCAGAAGGCAAGCAACUCUACGUAUUGUAUCUAAUUAUCUGGACAACUGUGGGUGGACAACUGUUAUUUGUGUACCUGUUGGUGGAAUCUUGUUUCUUGGAAGAGUAAGGUACGGUGCUAAAUGCCAAUAUAGGGCUAUGGUGCAAACUACAAGUGAUUUGCUAUUGCUGAAAUAUCUGUUGAAGGAACCUGGUUUUGUAAGUAAUAUGCCAGUGGGUGUAUCAUGCAAUAAUCUUGCAGCUCUUCAUAUUUGCAUCUAAUUACCCUGGCUGCCGCCACCUUGCAGUGGACUGGGGAAAGUGAAUACCCUUGACGCACACCCACCAACCUGUGAUCAGAAGGCUAGCCUCUUUCUAAGGAUAUUUGGUGGACUUUAUACAUAGACAAAGCACAUUAAGAUAGAUUCUCACUACAUCUGCAGAUUAUAUGUUAAAAGAUGAGCAGCUAGUAGACUCGCUCAGUAAAUGUUUUGGCAGUUCUAGAAUGCAUUUUACUUGUAACUAGCUAGGGUAUUACUAGAAGUAUUGAGGAUUUGAAGGUCAAUAGUUAUGUUUUCAUAACAAAUAUUGUGGUUCAGGGAAUUAAAGCAGAAAAAGGGCAACCCAAAUGGCCAUUAAACUAUUCCUUUGGUGUAAUUUUGGCUACUGGACUAUUUUUAGUUCCAAUUUUUCCACUGAACUCCUAAAAACAUUUACAUUUGGCACUUUUUAAUGUUUCACUGUCAAGUCCUUUCUCUUCGGUUAAUUUAGGGGGAUACCUUUUUCCAAAUGUUUUUCUCUUCGGUUAAUUUAAAAGUUUUACUUGAAUUCUUGAUUAAGGUAUCUUGAAUGCACCCAUGUCAGUCAAACAUCUGUGAGUGAAUGGAGUGUGACAUAGUUUUAGCUUAACGUGCUUUUGUUUGACUUGACUAAACCAUUGAUGCAACUAAUGAUCCAAAGAGGAUGAUUGGAGGAAGAGCUGUUUUUCUCAGCUUGUGGGCUUGUUAAUGGAAUGACAGAAAAGUGAUUGUUGAUUUGGUACUGAGGCUGUCGGGUCGCAUUGCAGGUUGGAGUCGGUAAAGCUCUCUGACUUUUAAUACUGAAUUAGUUCUAUGACUGAAUUAAAGGUUCCAAAGGUCAUUGUGCAAGAAUUUGGUGUCAAUGCAUAUCUGCGAGCUCUCUCUUUGUUGUCUUCAGUGCAAAGUAGAAAGACACUGAAUUUAUGCAUUUUUAAUUUUCUAUUCUGCUCGGCUUGUUAUGCUUCUUUCCAAUAAUUUGCAGAUUCAGAAGAAAAAGAUCUGGGAACAGGUUCAGCCUCAUCUGGGGACGGAUGACUCGUGUAUUGCUGCACUUGGUAUGCACACCAUGCGAACAACUGAUGGUGUUGUGGUCUGCAGAUCUCUAAAGAAUGCUAGAAUAUCAUAACAGGCAGUUGGAAGCUCGUCAAGGUCACAGGAUUCUUUGGUCUCAUAACUUGCACUUCUAGUGUGCCCCACUAUCUACUGCUGUCUUUGGACCUAAAUUUCUGUGCAGUAUGUCCGCUGGUUUUUAGUGAGAUAUUGCAGGAAGAAAAGAUAAAUGAUAAUGGGCCUUGUCUAUGUUUGACCUGUCAUAGUUUACAUCACUAAUGUAUGGUCAUUCUUUUGUCUUUUAUCUAUCUUUUGUUGACACUUUGGCAAAUAGCUGAGAAUGUAAUCUGGCUUGCAGACUUGACCUUCGGAUUGAUUUUUAUUAGGUUCUGCUGGCUGUAAAAAUUUAGGAGCGUUGUGACUUAAAUGGCACCAUUAAGAUUAGAGUUGAUUUUGUUCAAUGGGAGAUAAAAUGAGACAAAAAAAAGUUACUGAGUAAAGUGAGAAACGAGAUAUACUUUGAUGCGAUUAAAUGUGAUUAACCCUUAAGAUUGGUUGCAUUUAUUCACUUUAUAACAUGGUAUAGUUUUUGCUUCGCUAAGCAAAAAUUUUCAGCUUUCGACACCCAAUUUGAUGACAUCAAAAUUUGUAAUAAAGGAAACGUCUCUUUAUAAUUAUUGUAGAAACAGCUAUGGAAUUUGAUUAAAACUUGAAUCAUAAAGAGGGGAAAUGGGAUAAGUAGGAGGCGUGGUAGUAAAAGUAAAGAUUAAAAGACCCCAAGUUCUGGAGUUUCGGAAAAAAAAUAAGGGGACAAAGGGCAAAAAAUUAGCACUGAUCAAAAUUAACAUAACUUUUCGUUGCCGUUUUGAUAAAAAAAAAAAAAAGGAUUUCUUUUUACUUUUAGCGAAAACAAAUGGAAAACAUUAGACGCAAAAAAUAAAAGAAACCAAAUAAGAAAGGGUUUUCUAACCAAAAAAAUAAAAAAUAGGGAUAAUUUCAGAAACCUCCCCUGAGGUUUCUGACAGUCUCAAGGACCUCCCCUGAAGUUCCGAAAAUCCCUUAUACCUCCCCUAAAACUAAGUAGAUAGUUUCAGGUCCAACCCAAUUGAGGUGGACAAUGAAUAUAAAAUGUGUUUCAGGAGAGAGAAAAUAAUCAAAUUCCACCUCUGCCCUCAAGAUUGUCAUUAGUGAGGAUGUUUAUGUUGAAAAUUUCAAUGGAAUCUAGUUCCUUUGAAAUUGCAGGGGGUGUAUGUGAAACUGAUGGAAAAAGGUAAGGCUGUAUUGCAAGAAAUUGUCUUCUAGUUCAUGCCAACGGCUCUCAAAGUAGUUCUUUGUGACGGUAAUAAGAAACAGUAGUGUUGCUUUGGAGCUCUAUAUAAUUGCCUACUGAAGUUGCAAGAGAAACCAGUGAAUGUUGUUGGGUUGUGACUGAGGUUUCUGCAAAAGUGCUCAUACAAGUAGCAAAAUUCUAAUCAAAAUCUAUUUUUUGAUCACAACAAGAAGUGUUACCUAUAACAGGAGCGGGCAGUUUAGAAAUUUAUUUAUCGGAUAAAAUAAAUUUAAACCCAUUGUUGAAUAAAAGACCAGCUCUUUAUGGCUUUCGUCCAUUAUACUUACGGAGUACCCAUUUUCCUUAAAUACUAAUUUAUUUGUCGGAUAACAUAAAAUAAAUCCGUUGUUGAAUAAAAGAGCCCCACUUUUCAAAGCUUUCAUUCAUUAUAAGAACAGAGUACCCAUUUUUCUUAAACAAAAAUUUAGUUAUUAGAUAUAAUAAAAAUUAACUCGUUGUUGAAUAAAAAACCAGCUCUUUAUGGCUUUUCUCCAUUACAACAACAUAGUACCCAAGGUCCCUUAAAUAGAAAUUUAUUUAUCGGAUAAAAUAAAAAUAAAUCCGUUGUUGAAUAAAAGACCAGCUCUUUAUGCCUUUCGUCCAUUAUACUCACAGAAUACCCAAAGUGCCUUAAAUAGAAAUUUAUUUAUCGGAUAAAAUAAAUUUAAACCCAUUGAAUGCCGAAAUUAAAAUAAAAUAAAAUAAUAAAGAUGAGUAUUGAUUCAUAAUAGUAAAGAACCAGAUUCAUUAUCAUGUGCUUCCAGUUUUGCUUAUUGAAUACCACAUGACAGAUUUUACAAAAACACAGUGUACAAGUAAUAGUGCAAAUGGAACUUCAGUCUUCUGUUGAGAAGCAUUUUGAGUGUACAACAGCCAAAUCUUUCCACUUAUGCAUCCAGGUUAAUACAAAAAGAUAAAUUCGUCCAAAACAUCAGAUAACUAAUGUUCAGAUACCAAAAUUAGAUAACCAAGACAUCUAAAAGAUCCUGAUAUUCAUCAGUAAUGAUCAGAUAUUCAUGUCCUCUGAUAUCCAAAUAACAAAAGACUCUUAAUAGAUUCUACUAAAAGGUGAAGCUGCUACUGACAUUAUGAGAAUCAUGAGAAACUGAAGCAUUGAUGUUGACAUCAGUUUGUACUUGGGCACUUCCACUGGGAUGUAGUGCAGCAGUAUGCAUUCCUGCAAAUGGUUGAGGUGCUGCUGUUGAAGUUUUCCUUUUGGGGUUAUAUACAACAGAUGGAGCAGAUUUGUUGGAAGGUCGGCCUCUCUGAAAUUGCAGAUGAAGCAUGAUUAAUAUACAGGCAUGUAAAUAAGCAUUAAAAGUGCAGCUAUCUCUGAAAAAGGAUUAAGGAACAAAUACCUUUCUCUUAGUAGCAUUGGUUGCUGUUUGCAGAUUCAAGUCAGCAUUCAUUAAUGGUAAUUGAGUUGAUGGACUUCGGUUAUUGCCUUGACUAGAAACUACAAUAGGCACAUUGCCAUCAGCAUGAUCCUGCACAAAUCAAUGGCAAGCAUUAGCUCAUCAGACAACAGCAACAUAAGAAAAGUCUGUUUCUGAAUCUAAAAGAAUUGUAACCCAUAGAACAGAUCCUGCAAGCCCUGUAUUUGCAAUUCCCCUUCCUGGCUUUCCUCUAGCAAAUUGAGUCCCCUGACAUGAAAAUUAAUAACAAAUUACAAGCUCGCUUAGCAAUUUCAAGUCUCUCAAUUAAACCACUAGACUGAACCUUGUUUGUGCUGGUGCUUGUACUCCUUUGUCUCACAGGUGCUCUUUGACAUGUUCUAGUAUUAUGUCCAGUAGCUUUGCAGUUGCCACAUCUCAUAGUGGUUGACCUUUUUGCUUGAGAUUGGCUUGGCUCAUCAGGCCCUCUCCUUCUAUUAACUCUUGGACGACCUGGAGCUCUUCUCAAUGGUGGUGGAAGGACAGUUUUUGGUGUGACAUCAAUUAAUGGAGGCCAUCUCUUCUCGUGAGGAAUUGGAUGUAUCAUGCCACUAUAUGUCUUGAGAUACAUUUCUGUUGAGAAGCAAGGAUCACAGUAUGUCUCCAACUUCUGUCUUUUGUAUACAAUUCCAAGUGCAGCAUGCUUGCAUGGGAGUCCAGACAAUUGGAAAGCUCCACAGUCACAUGUCUUCUGGUUCAAACUCACUAUAAAUGUUCUGUCACCAUCAGUAACUUCAAACGAAUCCUCACUGGCCAUCUGCAAUGAACAUCUCCUAGAAUGUAUUGCAAUUUCCUUGAGCUUUUCUAUGAUGUUUUUUGGGAUAGCAGACGUCCAUGUGCAAGCCUUCUGGUACCUUUUGUGUAAUUUCUUCAUAAAUUUUUUCCUCAGUCCUUCAACAAGUGUCAGUAUUGGUUGGCACCUUAAGUCUCCAAUCCAAGCAUUGAAGGAUUCCGUGAAAUUGUUUGUGACAUGGUCACAUUUCAAAUUUGUUGAGAAAGCAUGUCUAGCCCAAGCAGAAACUGGAAUCUUGGAUAAGUACCUCCAUGCUUCUAUAUUCAUGUCCUUGAUUCUCUGCAUUGCUUGUGUAAAUCCAACUGCAUCAUAACUCUUAGCAGCUUGCCAAAAGAAGGUACUCAGUAACACUCCAGGGAAUUGAGACUUGAAGUUCAUGCAAAUAUGUCUGCAACAGUAUCUUCCAAUUGCAGAUGGCAGCUGCUGUUCAUAUGCAAUGUUCAACCCCUACAUCAAAAGCAAAAAAUCAGUCAGCCUUUUUUACCAUAUCUACACAGCAGGUUGUCCAAAUUUGGCAAAGUAAAGUAUUUAGUAAUACCUUUUGUCUGUCACUCAUGACAGUUAAGGGACAGUUGUUAUCGAAUGGUCCAAAAAAUUCUUCAAAGAAAUGAAAGAACCAGCUCCAAGUCUCUUUGUUUUCUACCUCAACAAUAGCAAAACCAAUGGGAAAUAUGCUGUUAUUACCAUCCAAUGCAACAGCAGCCAGCAAUACUCCACCAAAACUACCUUUCAAAUGACAUCCAUCAAAUCCGACAAAGGAUCUACAACCACCUAAAAAUCCAUCUUUCUGACUUUUAAAGCUAAUAAAAAGUCUGAGGAACCUUGGUUCAACUAGUAGAUUUGGUCUGUCAUAAUGAAUCUUACAAACACUACCAGGAUUAUGUUGCCUAAGAAGCACAGCAUAUUUGGGCAGUUUACUAUAUGAUUCUGAAUGUGUGCCUUCAAUCUCUUCUCUUGCCUUUUGUUUGGCUCUAUACACUUGCUGUUUACUAGGAUGCACACCAUAUUUUAGCAUCUCAGCUUCAAUGCCCUUUCUUGACAAGUUAGGAUAGGUUCUCAUCACAGCUAUCAGUUUUUUGGCCAUCCAGUCAGAGGUGGCCUCACGAUUUUUAUUAUCCAUCACACAUGUGUGUUCAGGUGUGUAUGUCUUAAUCAUAAAUGUUACUGAAUCAGCUAUAGGGGACGCAUGAAUCCUCCAUGUACAUCCAGCACUAUCACAGAUUGCAGUACACCUGGUUUUCUCAUUCUUCAGCCUUUUGAUGGGAAAUCCUUUUUGGAUCACAUAAUCCUUCAGUGCUGCUCUAAAGGCAUCAACAUUAGUGAAUAGCUGUCCCUUCUUGAAUUCUAUGUCCUCUCUUGGAUUGUAAGUCCACAUCUUGUUUCUUAGCACUUCUUUUAAAGGGUCCAUUUCUUGCUCAGAUUCAGAAUCUGGUACAAUUAGAUCACCAGUUUCAUUAUCAUCCAAGUUUUGAAAACUUUCAUCACUGCUAGAAUUCUCAGACAGAACCAUUAGCUCAUCACCUAUAUCAUCUUCAUUGUCAUCAUCAAAUCCUUGCUUCCAUGAAUCAUCAGAGCUCGAUUCACCCCUAUACCCCUCAUCCUGGGAGUCAAUAACAUGAACAUUCUGCUCAUCAGCAGCCAAGGCAGAGUGUUUGUUCUGAAUUUCUAUGUGCUCACUCUCACCAUCAAUCUUUCUCAACAACAUGACAGGUUGUUCAGCUGGGAUAAUAUCCAUGUUGAACACCUCUAUAUUUAUGACUGGUUGACCUUCAUACACACUGAACAUAUCAUGGACAGCUUCAUCAUCAUUCACAUCAAUGUAAGCUUCUGUUCCAGGUAUUGCACAUCUCAUAUGUACAAGAAGAUUAAUAUUUCCAGGCAGUUCAUCUAAUGCCUUCUCGGCAACAUCAUUCAGCAGAUUAAAGAAAGAGUAUUUUUCAGGAUUUAUAUUGGAAAUUCGAACUUUUGUCCCUCCACAAUGGAGUACAAUGUCAUACACAUCACCAGUCACCAUCCUACAACAUCAGAUAUCACUAUUUAUGAACUUCAAUGUAUACAAACAUAUAAUACUAUGACAGAGUAACUCCCUAGACCUCAUGCAAACCACUUUGUAUGAUUCAUAUAAACAGCACCAUCACAUAUGCAUGAAUACACAUUCUAGUUUAUAACUAUUAUAACCAGAAAUAAUGAAAACAUUGUCAGGUGAUCAUAUUAAUAACAAAAGCAGAAACGCAGAGCUAAUGUAGGAAAAUAAGAAGACAUGCUCAGUUUCCACAUGGUCAGUAACCUUCAUCAGCCAUAAGCUACGUAGUAUCUAACCUUGCUUUGCUUCAGAUGCUCUCAGAACACCAACAGUUCACCCUUUGCAGCAAUACUUCAGCUCAAUUUCCAGAACUCAAUUUCUUCAAGAAUUCUCCCGUUUCUCCUGGAGCUCUCAAAUGCUCUUCUCAUGAUCAGUAUGGCUCAAGAAGGUCUAUUCCUCAUCAAAAUUAACGUUCAGUCAGCUACCAUUGUCACAUCAACAACCAAAUGGGCGCCCAUUUUUGGCGCCUUUUCUCUUAGCCCAAAUUAGCAAUUCAUUUUAUUAUCAAAUUCCAGUUAAGUUACUUAAUCCUUUCUAUUACUCAUUUCACUAAUUAAUUCAUGUUAUUAUCAGAAUAUAUUACUUCAACAGCAGGGAUAUUUGUGUCAAUUCAACGUUUUUCAAGUCAUUUUGGGACCCAACAAUCUGACAGGGGAGGUAUAAGGGAUUUUCGAAACUUCAGGGGAGGUCCUUGAGACUGUCAGAAACCUCAGGGGAGGUUUCUGAAAUUAUCCCUAAAAAAUAAGAGAGAAAUAUUCAAUAACAAUAAAACGGAACAAAAUAUAUAAGAAAGUUUGAAUAACAGUCAGAAACUUGUGAAUGGGAAACAGGAGAUGAAUCUGAUGGAGAGUACAAUGGAAAACAGAGGUCUUCUAGAAGUGUAAAAACAUGAAAAAAAAAAUUUCAAUGCAAAUCUGCGGAGAAAAAAAGAUUACCAUAUUAGUCUUGCUGACUGAGGAAGAAAGAGGAAGAUGGCAAAGGAAAAGAAAAGGAGAGAAGAGAAUGACGAAAAAGAGGAAGAAAUGAAAAGAGAACCAGAAGAGACCGAGGGAAAAGAGAGAGAUAAAAGCACACGGUUUCUGGCACACGGUUUCUGGCACACGGUUUCAGGUGGUUUGGGAAAUAGAAGGGAACAAAACCGGUACAAGGAAUCCAGGACCAACAAGUAUGAAGAAGGACGAAACACCAACAACAAACUUCACGACCCAUUCCCACUCUAUAUAUAAGUUCUUUAUGGUACAAUACUACAAAGUUAAUAAAGACUAAUUUUGAUAGGAGUCCGCGGAGAAAUUUGGGGUUUCUCCAAUUUUCCAUCGUUUUUGGUCAAGAGAAUUGGUGCAGCCACCCGCUUUGGUGCAGUUGCAGCAGUCCUAGUGAAAAUGGCAAAAGACGACGAAUUGGGGGCUGGAGCCGUCCCAGAAGAAGAGGGGCCAUCCGAAACUGCAGCAGCAGAUGAAACUGAGGAGAAAGUUGAUGAGCUCACUUUAGAUGGCCCACAAGGUUUUUAUUGCAUCGCUGCUUGGGUUAAUCGUAGUUAUUUUACAUUUCCAAUAAUCCCUUUUAAUUUGGUGCCAUGACUCUCGUUAAUCGAUCUUUAGAUAUUCUGAUUGUAAUAGAUUACUAAUGUGUGCGCAAUUAGUAGAAAAAACUUUCUGAACUUUGUUCUCUAAUUAAAUUGCAUCUGUUAAUCAGAGAACGACUUGUUGCUUCAUGUAUAAUCGUGGGAUUCCCUUGUUCAUCUUUUUGGUUCUAAGGUUUGUUCAGUUGCUUGAAAGAUAUGAUUUGUGAAACAGUAGUUGUUCUUCAUUAAGGUAAAAAGAAUUUAUUAAGCAAAAUUUUUUUUUUUUUUAUUCAGUACUUGUUAGGGUAGCUUCUUACAGUCAAACCUUUUGCGGUCUAAUAAGUCAAAAUCACAAGUCCAGUGAACACCUGAAAAGAAGUCCUAUCCAGUUUGUUUUUUUAAGGGAAUAGACUGGUUUAUUUUCCCAUUUUCAGCUUGGUAUCUAGCUUUGGUCUAUUCCAGUGCUGUUGAUGAUUAUCAGAUAUACCAAAUGAUUUCUACCUGUUCUGCUAUAUUCUCCUUUUUAUUGCUCACGAUUGUGUUUCAUUCCCAUGAUAAGCUGUCCUUUCCGGCCUGUUAAUAGAUUCAUUUUCUUUACUCCUGAGCAGCUGAGUUUCUUGUUUGCUUAUUAUAGCUCGUUGAACAUCGAUUUAGAUUAUUUGCGAAUGCAUAUGAAGAGAGGUUGGUCAUGCACAAACUUAUUCAUUCAGCUUACAAAUUCUCUGUUUCUUGGAAAAGAGUUUAGAUAAUAUGGAUAUUUAUGUUCGCCCAUUCAGGUCUAGCUCUCCUCAAACGUCAUUUUAGUUGUAGCAUCGUAUUUGUAUAUUUGUUCACUCUCUCAACACAUGCUGAAAUAUGAAUUAAGUUUUCAGGCAGCUGAUUAAGCAUUAGCAUCCAUUCCCCCUCAAAAGAUAUGUUUCAGUUAAUCCAGUAACCAAUCUAUAAAAAAAUCUGGACUUAAUUGACAUUUGAUACUUUUUUUGAAAUUUGCAUAGCAAAGUGAUAUAUAAUUACUGAUUCAUUCUUUUUGAUAAAUAAUUUAAUAGUAGUAUUUGCUCUUACACUUGGGCCUUUUGAAAUUCACAGAAGCUGCUAAAAAGAAGAAGAAAAAAAGUAAAAGCAAGUGAGCACUUUCUCUCCUUUCAUUGUCUUUUUUUCUCCUUAUGGAAGGAUUUAGGUUUUCAUUUCUCCUUUUUCAUGUUUUGCAUUUUCAGGAAGAAAAAAGAAAUGCGGGUGCAAACAGAUCCUCCAUCCAUCCCAGUUAUUGAACUCUUCCCUUCUGGGGAAUUUCCAGAGGGUGAAGUUCAACAGUACAAAGACGAGUAUGUACCCAUUACUGUAUGCUUUAUUGUCUUUGAUGACCUAUAUUAAGCAUUAUUGCAAUCAGAACAGAUUGUCUGAAAAAUUCGCAAUGGAAAGGGUCAGGAUAUUUUCUGCAUUUGAUUAUUGGUUGUAUUUAAAAGUUCAUAGUAGUGAGAUGGAGAGCAAAAGGAUUGUCUCUUUUAAUUGAUAAAUGCUUCUGACAGCAUUUAAUUUCCAUACAAGGGAAAGUUCCUGUAAGAGUGAAUGUGCAUGGAUAUACUAAUUCUUUACUACAAAGUUGCUGCAGUGUGCAGAUUGGAAAGCUUUUUAUUAGGAUGUGUUGGCGAAACUAUGUGAGCUAUGAUUGUCUGAGGAGAAAGCUCGAAUAGUAAAUCCACUUUUAGGGCCUGUUUGAUAACUCUACUUAAUGCUGAUAAUUAAUUUAUUCAGAAUUUUUUGAAUUUAGCAUGUUUGAUAAUAGAAAUUCCUUACUACUUAAUGUAUUAAGCACUGCAUAAUUUGUGUACAAAAUUUUAAGUGAAAAAAAUUUUGACUGACUCCUCUGAAUUGACCACACAUACUAUGCCUCUCACGCACAUGACACAAUCUCAUAGUGUUCUUGCACAUAGUGCACGUUUGUUUUCUUUAUGCUGGACAUAUACAAAGACACAGAUGCACGCGCACACACACUCUUACAACAAAUAUACACACUUAAAUACCACUUCUAAAUUAUUUCAUUAUUUUCUCUCUCACACACAUGCGCAUUUUUCUUUUUCUCCAAAUGCACAAAUAUAGGUUUAAAUAAAAAAAAAUAGAAAUACAAUUAUUAGAGAUAUUUUUACUGUAGCACUUUUUGUGAUGUGAUGUAUGUGAGAUAAAAAGGUAAUUGAAAAGGUAAAAAGGUGUAUUGGAAAUUGUAAUGAUGAUGUAAGCAAAAAAAAUUGGGGAAAUAAAGCCCAAUCCAAACAAACCCAUAAUUGUGCGAUAUUUCAAUUGAGUAUCAUAAUCCAGUUAGUUAUCAAACAAAUAUAACUUGAACAAUUCAGCAACUUAAUACAUUCAGCACUUAAUUUUCAGAAUUCAGAUUUCAGACUUUAGAUUUAUCAAACGGACCCUUAAUCCUGAGUUUUAUUAGUCUCUGGGCUUAUCUUUUUGUAAUUUAAAUAAUUUUCUUCAGUGGGGUGCUGGGGGAAGAUGCGUGCUUGCUCGUGGCUGCAAUGUGUUGAUGAGUUACUAUAUUUUCAUUGGCUUAUUCUGCCUGAUGCCCUAAGCAUUUUUCUGCUUGGAAGAUUUUAGCAUCCCAGUGCUCUUUCUAAGAGCAACGAAAAGAAGUGGGAUAUCUUGACACUUAAGAAUUUAUAUGUAUCUGAAAAUUAGGAGAUCUAAGCUUCUUUAAUUAAGCUGAAGUAAUGCUGGAUUAUUUUUCCUUUCAGGGGUACCUUUUUUUAUUUAUUUUUAUUUUUAAAAAGUGGGCAGGGAUAGGUGAAUCUAAUAGGACACUCUUGGGUUUGUAGAUGUUUCUUGGUAUCUUUGCCCUUUUAUUGUGAUGAUUUUUCGCCAGUGUUUUCUUAUUGGACAUCUUACAUGUGUCUUGACUGUAUAUGCCUUCUCCUGGAGAUGCUGUUGAUGCACCUGAGAUAGUGUUUGAUUGUAAAGUUAGUUACGUUUUCCUUAACAUGCGUAAUUCAGGUCGCAGGAGAGUUACAAAAAGUUGCUGCCUUCUUUUUUUUCAGACUGUGCUAUUUUCUCUCACAUAUUUUAUCAUUGGCAAACAUGCAUACAAAAAUUGAUUGCACUUUCUUUUACCUAAUUUAUUGCAUAUAUAAUCUGUUUUCAGUCCAUUCAGGAUCUACAUAUUUGUGUGUACAAUUUGAUUUGGGGAUAGCAUUCGAGCACAGGUAUAUGCUCUUUUAGUCAAAUCAAACCUAAUAAACGCAUCCUGAAUAAGUGCUUUGAUAUAUAAUGAUAAAACUGUUACUUAAGCCUACCAUGGAAGUUCUCUUGCAUCAUUUAAGAAUUCAAUAACAAUCCUCUAGAAUGUUUCAUGUAUCAUUCAAGUGUUAGUAAGAUACCCCACAAAUAAGAAAGUUAAAAAAGUAAUGAACAUGGACCUGAAGAGAUGUCAUCCAAGAAUAGAAUCCAUUCCUGUAAGGAAAUGCACUAAUAACAUAGAAAUGAUAAAGUGUGUAUUUAAUAAAAAAUAGUAACCCUAACAGGGAAAACCAUCAGGCAUCAAAAUCCUGUGUAUAAUUGGUCACUGUAGUAGGUUGGGUAGCUCUGUUUACCACAAUGGAAAGAUAUAUAUUCUGUCUGUAAUCUUCUCCAUACCUUCUGAUGGAUUGAGAAAAUUGAGUAAUAUUCAAAAGAUGUGUUUUAAUAUCAGUCUUGCUUUGAAACCAUGAUAAGAAAGAAUGGAGCGCCAUCUACUCGCCAUAAAUUUGUAAAUUGAAUUGGAUUUUGAUGUAUUUUAACUGUAUAAAUUUGUGGGAAUAUCUUAAAUGAGUACUAUAGAAAGUUCAUCUCUGUUACAUAUCUACAUGUUACAACAUUCGACAUUUUUAAUCUAACAUGUCAGCAUGUCAAACAAUAUUUAGCGUAGCCAACCAAAUUAUGAGAUUGCAUAUGCUUAUGGUUGGUGAUUACCCAAAACCAUCCCUGGCAACUUGAUGGGAUAGGCACUUUUCCAUUUCGAGCUUCCAUUUUAACAUCUCAUACAUUUUUGCCUUCUCUUCUGUCUAGGGAAGUACAUGUUUAUACAUGAGCCUUCCAUGAGGAAUUUAAUGCCAUGGGAUUUGGCAUCUUGUGGACUGGAGGUUUAGAGCAGUGACAGAGCCCACGGCAAUUUGUGGGCCCUAUUAUUGGACCACUAAUUAACCUUCCUUAUAUGAGAGAGAUAUUUCUGCCACUUGUUAUUGUAGUGUGCUUUGUACUUUGUACUAAUCGUUGUGAUGUGGCUAAAGUCAAUUUUUGCAUGUUCCCAAUCCAAUCUAGGGAUUCUUUUUAUUGGACUUGAUAUAUUGGUAACUCUUUUUUCUGUCAAUAAGCAAAGAGGCUGGACAUCUGUUUCAAAGGGGAUGAUGCCAGUAUGUAUAUGAAUAGCUCCAAGAACUUGUUUUCUGUUAUGAAAAUGAUGUAGUCUUUGCUUUCUGUUUUAUGGGUGGGGCUAUUUUCUUUUAAACCUUGUGUUUCUUAGCAUCAAAAGAGGAGGAAUAUCUGUUCUUUUGAUAUGUCUGAAGGAUCAAAAUGAGGAUGGCUAGCUGUUUUUGAAACCCGGUGAAUGAACGAUUUGCAUCUCUUGCAUGAAGUAGUUUUAUUUUUACAAGUGCCGACUGAUUUGGAUCAAAACGCGUGGUUUAUCUGUUACAGUUUAAAGCAUGGUUUUGGAAUAGGUGCAUGAUUGCAAUUAGUUAGCUGGCAUGCAAAUUACAAUUAGACAACACUAGUGCACUUUUAUAUUCUCAAUUAGAGGAAAGUAGCUGUCAUUCGUUUUCAAAUGCACCGGAUCUUAUUCCUUUCUGUCUCGAAUGGUUUAAAUUCAACUGGUUUCAGUAUGCAAUCCCUUUUUCUCUUAUUAUUGGGCUCUUUUUUUUUUUAAUUUAAUAUCAUGGAGAUUUCUUAAAAUAAAUUUCUGUUGUUGAUGAUUCAAUUCAGUAACUUGUGGAGGACAACUUCCGAGGAAAAGAGGGAGUUGGAGCGCCUGGAAAAACCAAUCUACAAUUCCGUUCGCCAGGCAGCAGAAGUUCAUCGUCAGGUAGGUACUAAAACUUUGAUAUUUAUCUGUGUGCUUGGACAUGUCUGUUCGCAUAUGAGAGCAACCUGAAGAAAUGAAUAUUUCCCUAUUUAGUUGCUGAGAAAAAUGGCUGGCUCUUUUCUUCCAUUAUGGCAACCUUGUAACCUUGUUCAGGUUCGGAGAUAUAUCAGGCAGAUUUUGAAGCCUGGAAUGUUAAUGAUUGAUCUGUGUGAGACCUUGGAGAAUACUGUACGUAAAUUGAUAUCAGAGAAUGGUCUCCAAGCUGGCAUUGCAUUUCCCACAGGAUGCUCAUUAAAUUGGUGAGUAUGAAUGUGUUGUUCGUGCAAUAUUAUGUAACUUAAGAAAUUGAAAACACUUUAUAAACAUUCACUAUGUCAGUUUUUUACUGUGUUAAGAAACUGAAAACACUUUAUAAACAUUCACCAUGUCAGUUUUAGUGUGUUUACUUUUACAGCUUCUAGUCAGCUAAUUCAUUUCUUUCUUUCUUUUCUCUUUUUCAAACUGAGUUCUUUUUCCUCUCUGGUUAAGUUCUUUCUGCUUCUAACCUGUUUCUUCUUACAGGGUUGCAGCCCACUGGACCCCAAAUUCUGGAGAUAAAACUGUGCUUCAGUAUGAUGAUGUCAUGAAACUGGAUUUUGGAACUCAUAUUGAUGGUACUAUUUUCAAAUCUUACGUCUGGUGGUCUGUGGGCAUGCUUCGUACUGCCUCAUUGGUUUUACUUGUUUUUGUUUGCUUAGCAUCAUUCCACUGUAGGUGUUUAAUUCUGGCAUGUUUGUACUUGCAGGACAUAUAGUAGACUCUGCAUUUACUGUGGCAUUUAAUCCUAUGUUCGACCCUCUCCUUGAAGCCUCACGUGAAGCCACAAAUACGGGAAUCAAGGUGGGUGUAUUUGUGUUGGAUAACUGGAAUUAAGUUCAUUAAAGUGAAAAUUUGAAACCUGCUGGUUAAUAAGUAAAAUUUAAUGAGAUGUAAACUUGUCGUCCAAGUUAUAUAACAAAUGAUUUUCACAAUGCAUUCUGUUAAAACCAACUCAUAUCUUCACAGUAUUUUAUACUUUGUUUCAUUUUCAGGAAGCUGGAAUUGAUGUCCGCCUUUGUGAUGUUGGUGCUGCAAUCCAAGAGGUCAUGGAAUCAUAUGAGGUUGAAAUUAACGGCAAAGUAUACCAAGGUAAUUGAAACUGAAAUGAAUGUAGCUUUUACUUUACAUCAGUCAGAUGCUUUGAGGUUAGAAUAUUGGCUGAUAAUGUGAAACCUUUUUUUAUUUUUUUGGCAAUACUUUUAGUAAUUGGAGUCCAAUUCUUCUUUAAAUGUUUUACAAUCUUAAUAAUUAUUACACCGAGAACCAUAUGAUUUUACUUGUUGGGAUUGUACUUUUGGUAUAGAAACAUUGCCUAAUAUCUUUCCUUUCACUCUCUAAGUCACCUUUUGAUUGGCUGAACGUUGUUUAAGAUGAGUGCAUUUGUUGUACAAUCAAUGACAAUUGGGAAAACACUCCAAAAUUACAUGCUUCAUUGAACGCAUUGGUAAUAGAAAGGCCUUUUGGUAAAGGAUUUUCAAGAAGGGUAAAUUUUUGGGGGAUGAGAAAAAUUAUUGCAGUAAAUGGCUUUUGAGUACUGAUAGGGGCGGCCAAAUUUUGGCAGAGUCCAAAAAGAAAUCUGGCCAAUAAAACUGGGCUUGAUUUAAUGUUAUUUUAUGGCUUUACAGGCUUAGAUUGAAUAUUAUUGCUUGCACUAUAUUUUGUCUUCUGGUCAUCCUCAGCGUUUAACCUAAACAUGAGGCUAAUAUGUAUUAUCUUGUGUCCUUUCUUGAUUUGAGCAGAUUUCAGGGAUUCCUUUGGUUUAGAGCACUGUAUACAAACAGUGAAAGAUAAUUUUCUUUAUCUCUAUCUCAGGGAAGAUUGCAAAGUUAAAAUUCACGGAAACAUGGAUUUUCAUAACUAGUCAAAAAGCAUUAUGAUUUUUGAGUUUCAAGUCAUGACUGGUUGCUGGAUUCUGUUCUUAAGCUGUACUUUGUGUUGUGCCACAACCACCAUGAAAGAAAAAAAAAAAUUUUGGUUGUUCUUUCAUUUUUGUAUAAGUUUCUGGAUAUAGAAUCAUAACAGGAAAAUGACAGGAAGAAAAAGUCAUGUACUUAUAGUCUGUAGUCAUCUUAUGAUAAAAUUUCAUGUAAUGAAUGAUAUUUAAUGUUUUUGGGUUUGCUCUCUGUCAGUUAAGAGUAUCCGAAAUUUGAAUGGGCACGGUAUUGGAAGUUAUCAAAUCCAUGCUGGAAAAUCUGUUCCAAUUGUGAAAGGAGGAGAACAAACAAAAAUGGAAGAGGGCGAGUUUUAUGCAAUUGAGACCUUUGGAUCAACAGGUGAUGGUUUCUACAUUUUUUGGCUGGGUACCGUGCUUGAUGGAACUUGAAUCUAUAUGCGGAUUCAUUUUCCUGUCAUUUGUUUUGUACAGGAAAGGGGUAUGUCAGAGAAGAUCUAGAGUGCAGCCAUUACAUGAAGAAUUUUGAUGUUGGCCAUAUACCAUUGCGAUUACCGAGAGCAAAACAGCUUCUGGCAACAAUUAAUAAGAACUUCUCUACUUUGGCUUUCUGUAGACGUUAUUUAGAUCGCCUUGGGGAGACAAAAUAUUUGAUGGCACUAAAGAAUCUAUGUGAUUCUGGAAUUGUUCAGGUAUUUCACGUAAUUUAUUGUCAGUGAGGUAUUGAACCUUGAAGAAAUGGUGAUGAAAUUGAGGUUUCAAUUUUGACAUUAAUAGAAGAAAGAUUUUAAGAUGUGGGGGGAGCAUGUGAUUUUGUGGAUGCGAGGCCUUCUGGGGUGUUUAGAUAGCUGCCAUUAUACAUCAUGUCCAAAUGGUGAGAGGAUCUUCCUAUAUCUUGCUAUGUUAAGAUGACUGGAAGAUGCAAAAUAUAAAAAUCUAGAAAGAUCUGAAGAUAUGUGUCGGCCGAAAUGGAAGAAAGCAGAAAUAUUACCUAAUGUCAUAGAAUGGAAUACUGGGAAUUACUUGUGAACUAGCUAAGUUCAUAAUAGGGUAUAGAACUCGGUUUGAUAAAUUUCUCUCUUCUCUUGAUUUUAGAUUCUAGCUAUAUAUAUUAACAGAAGCUUGUUGUAUGCUUUUCAGCCUUGCCCUCCUGUAUGUGACAUCAAAGGCAGCUAUGUAUCUCAGUUUGAACAUACCAUAUUACUCCGUCCUACUUGCAAAGAGGUGGUAUCAAGAGGCAAUGACUAUUAAUGGCCAGGUCUUGGCACGACAAAGUGUGUGGUGAUCUGAGCUUAAUCAUUAAUUAGGGUUUACGUUCUGCCUGCACAAAAAUACCUGCCGGGCGCUGUGCAGAGGCUAGUCCCUAUUUGUUGUAUCUUUAAGUCUCCUUAUUCGACUAACAGCUACAGGCUACCUUUUUCCUUUCUCACUGUUUUGUUUGGAGAAUGGUUCUUGUUAGGAAAACUUGUGUAACUGAUUGAUUAUCUGUUGGUGAGAGACAGAAUGUAAAGCUUAUUAUGAAAGGUGCAUUUUCUUGAGAUAGAACUGGUCUAAAUUUUUGGUUUGAUGGAGUGUGUGUGGUCACUAUUAUUACUAGGUCGUUUGCCACAUGGAGAACAACAUAAGUUGGAAGAAAUCACAUUUGGUGGACUUUAUACACAGACAAAGCACAUUAAGAUAGAUUCUCACUACAUCUGCAGAUUAUAUGUUAAAAGAUGAGCAGCUAGUAGACUCGCUCAAUAAAUGUUUUGGCAGUUCUAGAAUGCAUUUUACUUGUGACUAGCUAGGGUAUUACUAGAAGUAUUGAGGAUUUGAAGUCAAUAGUUA
This 21174-nucleotide long non-coding RNA is filed under the name Coffea arabica (coffee). RNAcentral's name for it is "long non-coding RNA (CARA_LNC002382)". Lineage: Eukaryota; Viridiplantae; Streptophyta; Magnoliopsida; Gentianales; Rubiaceae. The record is from RNAcentral.